This 253-nucleotide ribosomal RNA is filed under the name uncultured bacterium. RNAcentral's name for it is "partial 16S ribosomal RNA". It matches the Rfam family "Bacterial small subunit ribosomal RNA", at positions 524 to 776 of the family's 1533-position model. The record is from RNAcentral.
UACGUAGGAUGCAAGCGUUGUCCGGAAUUAUUGGGCGUAAAGGGCUCGUAGGCGGUCUGUCACGUCGAAAGUGAAAACUCAGGGCUCAACCCUGAGCCUGCUUCCGAUACGGGCAGACUAGAGGUAUGCAGGGGAGAAUGGAAUUCCUGGUGUAGCGGUGAAAUGCGCAGAUAUCAGGAGGAACACCGAUGGCGAAGGCAGGUCUCUGGGCUGACACUGACGCUCAUGCACGAAAGCGUGGGGAGCAAACAGG